UACGUAGGGGGCUAGCGUUGUCCGGAAUCAUUGGGCGUAAAGCGCGUGUAGGCGGUCCGGUAAGUCCGCUGUGAAAGUCGGGGGCUCAACCCUCGGAUGCCGGUGGAUACUGUCGGGCUUGAGUACGGAAGAGGCGAGUGGAAUUCCUGGUGUAGCGGUGAAAUGCGCAGAUAUCGGGAGGAACACCAAUUGCGAAGGCAGCUCGCUGGGACGUCACUGACGCUGAGACGCGAAAGCCAGGGGAGCAAACGGG
RNAcentral lists this ribosomal RNA (253 nucleotides) under uncultured bacterium. RNAcentral describes it as "partial 16S ribosomal RNA". It matches the Rfam family "Bacterial small subunit ribosomal RNA", at positions 524 to 776 of the family's 1533-position model. The record is from RNAcentral.